This 661-nucleotide ribosomal RNA is filed under the name Nakazawaea sp. RNAcentral's name for it is "SSU rRNA". It matches the Rfam family "Eukaryotic small subunit ribosomal RNA", at positions 122 to 789 of the family's 1831-position model. Lineage: Eukaryota; Fungi; Ascomycota; Pichiomycetes; Alaninales; Pachysolenaceae. The record is from RNAcentral.
UGAUAGUACCUUUACUACUAGGUCAUAACCGUGGUAAUUCUAGAGCUAAUACUUGCUAACAAUCCCGACUUCUGGAAGGGAUGUAUUUAUUAGAUAAAAAAUCAAUGCCUUCGGGCUCUUUGAUGAUUCAUAAUAACUUUUCGAAUCGCAUGGCUUUUUGCCGGCGAUGGUUCAUUCAAAUUUCUGCCCUAUCAACUUUCGAUGGUAGGAUAGUGGCCUACCAUGGUUUCAACGGGUAACGGGGAAUAAGGGUUCGAUUCCGGAGAGGGAGCCUGAGAAACGGCUACCACAUCCAAGGAAGGCAGCAGGCGCGCAAAUUACCCAAUCCUAAUUCAGGGAGGUAGUGACAAUAAAUAACGAUACAGGGCCCAUACGGGUCUUGUAAUUGGAAUGAGUACAAUUUAAAUACCUUAACGAGGAACAAUUGGAGGGCAAGUCUGGUGCCAGCAGCCGCGGUAAUUCCAGCUCCAAUAGCGUAUAUUAAAGUUGUUGCAGUUAAAAAGCUCGUAGUUGAACCUUGGGCUUGGUUGGCCGGUCCGCCUUACGGUGAGUACUGGACCCAACCGAGCCUUUCCUUCUGGGAAACCUUCUGCCCUUUUUGGGUGGUUGGGGAACCAGGACUUUUACUUUGAAAAAAUUAGAGUGUUCAAAGCAGGCCUUU